Molecule: long non-coding RNA, 212 nt
Filed under: Spirodela polyrhiza (greater duckweed)
Lineage: Eukaryota; Viridiplantae; Streptophyta; Magnoliopsida; Alismatales; Araceae
Description: long non-coding RNA (SPOL_LNC000147)
Source: RNAcentral
UGGCGCUCAGCUUAAUUUUGUGAAGAAGUUAAUACCCUUCAUAGAAUGCAUGUUUAGGUAAGUCAAUGUUGGGCGAGAACCAACCUAAAACUCUUUGACUUAAGUCAAUGAUAGUGAAACGUGACAAAAAUAAAGUCUUCAAAUCGAUAGAUCUAAUAGUUCUUUGUGAGGACCUUUUUAAUCAAUUUAAUUGUCUCACUAUUUGACUCUCA